RNAcentral lists this ribosomal RNA (253 nucleotides) under uncultured bacterium. RNAcentral's name for it is "partial 16S ribosomal RNA". It matches the Rfam family "Bacterial small subunit ribosomal RNA", at positions 524 to 776 of the family's 1533-position model. The record is from RNAcentral.
UACGGGGGGGGCAAGCGUUGUCCGGAAUUACUGGGCGUAAAGAGCUCGUAGGUGGUUUGUCGCGUUGUUCGUGAAAUCUCACGGCUUAACUGUGAGCGUGCGGGCGAUACGGGCAGACUAGAGUACUGCAGGGGAGACUGGAAUUCCUGGUGUAGCGGUGGAAUGCGCAGAUAUCAGGAGGAACACCGGUGGCGAAGGCGGGUCUCUGGGCAGUAACUGACGCUGAGGAGCGAAAGCGUGGGGAGCGAACAGG